CCAGCAGCCGCGGUAAUACAGAGGUGGCAAGCGUUGUUCGGUAUUAUUGGGCGUAAAGAGCACGUAGGUGGUUUUGUAAGUCAGGUGUGAAAGCCUUCUGUUCAAAGGAAGAACGGCAUCUGAAACUGCAGAUCUUGAGUGUAGGAGGGGAGAGUGGAACUUCUGGUGGAGCGGUGAAAUGCGUAGAUAUCAGAAGGAACGUCGGCGGCGAAAGCGACUCUCUGGCCUAUUACUGACACUGAGGUGCGAAAGUUAGGGGAGCAAACGGGAUUAGAUACCCCGGUAGUCCUAACCGUAAACGAUGGGCACUAAGUAGAGGGGUUUU
This 325-nucleotide ribosomal RNA is filed under the name uncultured Candidatus Scalindua sp. Its description in RNAcentral is "bacterial SSU rRNA". It matches the Rfam family "Bacterial small subunit ribosomal RNA", at positions 508 to 832 of the family's 1533-position model. Lineage: Bacteria; Pseudomonadati; Planctomycetota; Candidatus Brocadiia; Candidatus Brocadiales; Candidatus Scalinduaceae. The record is from RNAcentral.